GCCGAGGUGGCGGAAUUGGCAGACGCGCUAGGCUUAGGACCUAGUCCCAUUUUGGGGUUGAGGGUUCGAAUCCCUCCCUCGGCACAA
RNAcentral lists this transfer RNA (87 nucleotides) under Candidatus Wolfebacteria bacterium. RNAcentral describes it as "tRNA-Leu". It matches the Rfam family "tRNA". Rfam says of the family: Transfer RNA (tRNA) molecules are approximately 80 nucleotides in length. Their secondary structure includes four short double-helical elements and three loops (D, anti-codon, and T loops). The record is from RNAcentral. Lineage: Bacteria; Candidatus Wolfeibacteriota.